UGGUGGAUAAAUCUUAAAAGAAAGGGAGAGC
Molecule: non-coding RNA, 31 nt
Filed under: Mus musculus (house mouse)
Lineage: Eukaryota; Metazoa; Chordata; Mammalia; Rodentia; Muridae
Source: RNAcentral